AGUGAACGCUGGCGGUAGGCCUAACACAUGCAAGUCGAACGGCAGCACAGUAAGAGCUUGCUCUUACGGGUGGCGAGUGGCGGACGGGUGAGGAAUACAUCGGAAUCUACUUUUUCGUGGGGGAUAACGUAGGGAAACUUACGCUAAUACCGCAUACGACCUACGGGUGAAAGCAGGGGAUCUUCGGACCUUGCGCGAUUGAAUGAGCCGAGGUCGGAUUAGCUAGUUGGCGGGGUAAAGGCCCACCAAGCCGACGAUCCGUAGCUGGUCUGAGAGGAGGAUCGGCCACACUGGAACUGAGACACGGUCCAGACUCCUACGGGAGGCAGCAGUGGGGAAUAUUGGACAAUGGGCGCAAGCCUGAUCCAGCCAUACCGCGUGGGUGAAGAAGGCCUUCGGGUUGUAAAGCCCUUUUGUUGGGAAAGAAAAGCAGCAGGUUAAUACCCCGCUGUUCUGACGGUACCCAAAGAAUAAGCACCGGCUAACUUCGUG
Molecule: ribosomal RNA, 492 nt
Filed under: uncultured bacterium
Lineage: Bacteria
Description: partial 16S ribosomal RNA
Rfam family: Bacterial small subunit ribosomal RNA
Source: RNAcentral